CUACGGGUCGCUCCAGUGAGGAAUUUUGCGCAAUGGGGGGAACCCUGACGCAGCAACGCCGCGUGAGUGAAGAAGGCCUUUGGGUCGUAAAGCUCUGUCAACUGGGAAGAAAUUAGAGUUGUUUAACAGAUGAUUCUAUUGACGGUACCAGUGGAGGAAGCGCCGGCUAACUCCGUGCCAGCAGCCGCGGUAACACGGGGGGCGCAAGCGUUAUUCGGAAUUAUUGGGCGUAAAGGGCGCGCAGGCGGUCUUGUCGGUCAGGUGUGAAAGCCCGGGGCUCAACCCUGGAAGUGCACUUGAAACAGCAAGACUUGAAUACGGGAGAGGAAAGCGGAAUUCCUGGUGUAGAGGUGAAAUUCGUAGAUAUCAGGAGGAACACCGAUGGCGAAGGCAGCUUUCUGGACCGAUACUGACGCUGAGGCGCGAAGGCGUGGGUAGCGAACGGGAUUAGAUACCCGGGUAGUC
RNAcentral lists this ribosomal RNA (465 nucleotides) under uncultured bacterium. RNAcentral describes it as "partial 16S ribosomal RNA". It matches the Rfam family "Bacterial small subunit ribosomal RNA", at positions 339 to 795 of the family's 1533-position model. The record is from RNAcentral.